Molecule: long non-coding RNA, 422 nt
Organism: Ornithorhynchus anatinus (platypus)
Lineage: Eukaryota; Metazoa; Chordata; Mammalia; Monotremata; Ornithorhynchidae
Exons: 3
Source: RefSeq, a predicted model, not a curated record
GCCCCCUCCGCCGGGGAGGCUGCGGGGCUGCAGGGGGCCGGCGCCGCUGAGGCUGCCGGGAGCGGCGGAGCUGUCCGUGGUGCGAGGCGCGGGGCCGCAGCGUCUAGCGCAGGAAGAACAGCCGGGGACGGUGGGAGUCCUCGCAGCCUCCGCCGAACGCUUGGCGCACGGUGCCGGGCAGAUCGGGUGCAUUUCCAAAGGGGAGGGAGAGUGGGUCUCCGAUCCCCAUUUUACAGAUGAGGAGAGUGAGGCCCGGAGAAGCCGCAGCGCGCCCCGGACCACCCGGCUGCCCGGUGGCGCGGGCAUCGGACCCCCGCUUGUCCCCGCUCCUGUAUUCGGUCGUAUCUACCGAGCGUUCACCGGGGGCGGAGUAAUAAUCAUAUGAGGGAACUGAGGCCCAGAGAAGCGAAGCGACUCGCCCG